AUGCCAGACUCCUACGGGAGGCAGCAGUGGGGAAUAUUGCACAAUGGGGGAAACCCUGAUGCAGCGACGCCGCGUGAGCGAUGAAGUAUCUCGGUAUGUAAAGCUCUAUCAGCAGGGAAGAAAGUGACAGUACCUGACUAAGAAGCCCCGGCUAACUACGUGCCAGCAGCCGCGGUAAUACGUAGGGGGCAAGCGUUAUCCGGAUUCACUGGGCGUAAAGGGAGCGCAGGCGGCACGGCAAGUCUGGUGUGAAAGCCCGGGGCUCAACCCCGGGACUGCAUUUGAAACUGUCAGGCUGGAGUGCAGGAGAGGUAAGUGGAAUUCCUAGUGUAGCGGUGAAAUGCGUAGAUAUUAGGAGGAACACCAGUGGCGAAGGCGGCUUACUGGACUGUAACUGACGUUGAGGCUCGAAAGCGUGGGGAGCAAACAGGAUUAGAUACCCUAGUAA
This 448-nucleotide ribosomal RNA is filed under the name uncultured bacterium. Its description in RNAcentral is "bacterial SSU rRNA". It matches the Rfam family "Bacterial small subunit ribosomal RNA", at positions 328 to 793 of the family's 1533-position model. The record is from RNAcentral.